UACGAAGGGGGCUAGCGUUGCUCGGAAUUACUGGGCGUAAAGCGCGCGUAGGCGGGCCGUUAAGUCGGGGGUGAAAGCCUGGGGCUCAACCUCAGAAUUGCCUUCGAUACUGGCGGCCUGGAGCAUGAUAGAGGCGAGUGGAAUUCCGAGUGUAGAGGUGAAAUUCGUAGAUAUUCGGAGGAACACCAGUGGCGAAGGCGACUCGCUGGAUCAUUGCUGACGCUGAGGCGCGAAAGCGUGGGUAGCAAACAGG
This 253-nucleotide ribosomal RNA is filed under the name uncultured bacterium. RNAcentral's name for it is "partial 16S ribosomal RNA". It matches the Rfam family "Bacterial small subunit ribosomal RNA", at positions 524 to 776 of the family's 1533-position model. The record is from RNAcentral.